GACAGAGGGUGCAAACGUUGCUCGGAAUCACUGGGCGUAAAGGGCGUGUAGGCGGGAAGGUAAGUCGGGCGUGAAAUCCCUGGGCUCAACCCAGGAACUGCACUCGAAACUACUUUUCUUGAGUGCCGGAGAGGAAAGCGGAAUACCUGGUGUAGAGGUGAAAUUCGUAGAUAUCAGGUGGAACACCAGUGGCGGAAGGCGGCUUUCUGGACGGUAACUGAC
Molecule: ribosomal RNA, 222 nt
Filed under: uncultured bacterium
Lineage: Bacteria
Description: partial 16S ribosomal RNA
Rfam family: Bacterial small subunit ribosomal RNA
Source: RNAcentral